Molecule: unclassified non-coding RNA, 2754 nt
Filed under: Hevea brasiliensis (rubber tree)
Lineage: Eukaryota; Viridiplantae; Streptophyta; Magnoliopsida; Malpighiales; Euphorbiaceae
Source: RNAcentral
UAUAUAUAUAUAUAUAUAUACCAAUGAACAGAGUACAAUUUCAUAUGACAAUAAAUUCUAUUGCUAUUCCUGCCAAAAUCUCACAACAGUAAUUAAGAAUGCAAGCUGCUCUAGCAAUGCUACGUUGUAAUUCACAAGUACUCGGACUGUAAAAUUUGAAUGGCUCCUACCACGCCAAAGCUAAUGAUACAACACUCAACACUUGCAUUGCUUGCAUACAUAAUUUCCAAGGUCAAUGAAUCUACCAUAUGCAAAAGGAGAGAAGUCCCGUCAAAUAUGCAUCUACCAAGGUCAUUUGGGUACGUACAUGUUGAAACCCUGCAAAUUGAUCAGCUGCACACCUGGACCUGGUGCUUCAGCUAGACCCGGGAGUAGGUUUCAUUUUCUUUGCAGAUGGAGACAUGAAUAGCUUUCUUACUGAAGUAAUGGGAUCAUCCACCUUAAUCACGGAAGUGCGUGAAGGAGAUUUUGUAGAAGGGUUAGAAUGCUCCUUUAGACGAAAUAAAGCAGAUAAUGUUUGCUUCCAACCAGCUGCCCCACUGUUUGUUGAUACAAUCCAGGGGCAAAAAUGUCUGUGCUGCCUGAUUGGAUCAAACUCCAUUCCUUCAUCUGAUGUUUCCUUUAGCUCCUUGCCAUAGGCUGUAUUGUCACUGUUCACCAUACUCUGUACUCUAUCUUUGGUGCCUUCCUGGCUUUUUGCUUGAGCGCUUGACAUGUUUUGGAGAUAAGAAUGAGUUUUACCUUUGGUUGAGUCUACCUUCGAAGUAAUAUCUUUGCCACAUAAAACAUCUGCUCCUGGAACCUCUUGCUGAUUGCAAAUUUCAGAGGCAACCAAAGCUAAUGAGUCACUUGUACUAUUCCCAUUUCCAAUGGCGACAGUAGCACCUGGGCCUGAAACAGAAGAUAUUAUAAUUUGAGAACUGCCGAAACUUCCUGCUGCUGAAUCAAGGGACCCAGCAUUUUGUGCAUUUUCAAGCAACCUAUAAUUCUGAUCAAAACUUUGUGCUAUAUCUGCUGUGCUCUCUGUUGUGCAUUCCCUAUUAGAAUCACACACUCCAAUUUCUGAAAAAAUUCCUUCUCCACUAAUGUCUGUGCCUUUCGAUGACAUGUAAAUAUCAGACUCCUUUCUAAGAGCAGAUCCUUUUUCACCACUUUCAAUGUUCAAACAAGAGGAUUGAUCUCCACUUGCAUAACUACACUGUCCCUGAUCAGCUGUUUUGCUCUUUAACAUCCCCACAGGUUCUGGAAGAGAAACUUGCUCACCAAAACUGUUUUCUGUAAUUCCCUUUUCUUUCACAAAUAUAUUUUUAUCAGAUAUAGACUGCACUUCUAGGUCGUUAAACGUACGAUCUCUAAAACCAGAGUCAUAAGAAAGCCUAGCCCUUAAAUUCCGGCCAAUAACAGGCAAUGAAAUUGUUGCUUUGAAGUUCUGUUUUGUAGGCGGUGGACCCCCGGCAAUUGUUAAAUUUAAAGUUGAUGGUCUAUCUAUGGAAGAUAGUACUCCAUUAGAGGCAGAAUUUGCAACAGCUCCUCUGUUGUCAACUUGACUUUCAUUGCCUGAAUCUUGUCCAUAAUUUUUUCUACUAUUCACUUCGGUGUAUCCAACCAAUCUAAACAACUCUACUGGCCUUGGAACUGUAGAAAAAGUCCAUAGUCCCACACUGGCUCCACAAAGCUUGCAAUCUAAAACAAUAGAGUGAGGAUCAGCUUGUAGCCCACUAAGCAAACUAAAAUCUUCAGUAGCCUCCAAAUUUUCAUUGGUUGUGGCAGAAUAAAAACUGAUGCUUGUAUUUUGUCCAUUAGUGACUAUAUUGGAUGAAUUCAAAAUGUCGGCAUCCUUAAUGAGCUUCUUUGGUCUUUCCUUGCAGUCAACAACAUAAGGCAGUGAUCGUGGUUCCCAGCCACAUAAACUUAUAAGCUUUUGUGCCUGAAAAUACAAGUUAGCAGAAUCAGCUUCACACUCAUUUCCAAGGUAUUCUACUUGAGAUAUGUUGAUAGAUCCAUUGCCAUAAUCCAAGGUUGGUGCCUCUCUAAGAAAUUCUUCCAGCUGUGAGCUUCUCAUGUAUUCCACGGCUGAAGAUGAAAUCACUGGAAGGGCUAAAAGUUGUAAGAGAGCAGAAGAACGUUCUCUGAAUUUAUCAACUAAAACAGGAGGAGGAGUGGGAGGAAACUCUGCCAAUCUUUCGUCACAGGCAUUAUCAAUCCAAGGACACAGUAAUUUGUGUCCACUAUCCAGCUUUAAGCUAAAUACCAUGGCUGCCUUCUCAACUUGCUGCUGCGUCCAAGAUAAUGGGGUGGAAAAAAGAAGACGAGCUGCACAUGCUUCACAGCCUAUAAUAUCCAUAUCUAAGUUGAUCCAUCCCCUCCUUGCACAAUUUACAGCACUCACCACCUUGGGCUUAGCAAACCAAGUCAUGGACCUAAACGUUGCCACCCUCCUCAUGAGAUCUCCUCGGUCCCAGGGUCUGCACAAUGGAGCUUCAGCUGGAGCUAAUGAACGCUGAGAUGACCCAACCACAUCCCCUCUUGUUCUAGGUUCCACUAGUGCCAACGCAGACUCUGGGUUGGGUCUCUUUUUCCCCCUUGAUGACUCCACUCCAGAUGAACUGGAAGGAUUGGAAAGGGAUUUAGGAGCGUGAAAGAGCUUGUCCAUGAUGGACUGAAAUCUCUUCUCUGGAUCAUCUGCCAUUUUCUUCUUCGCUAGAACUUCUUUUUCGCGCAAGAGAAGAUGUGUUGAGCUUUGAAACAUCGAAA